This 305-nucleotide ribosomal RNA is filed under the name uncultured bacterium. RNAcentral describes it as "partial 16S ribosomal RNA". It matches the Rfam family "Bacterial small subunit ribosomal RNA", at positions 508 to 807 of the family's 1533-position model. The record is from RNAcentral.
ACAGCAGUCGCCGCGGUAAAACGAGGGGGGCAAGCGUUGUUCGGAAUUAUUGGGCGUAAAGGGUGCGUAGGCGGUUUGAUAAGUCUUGUGUGAAAUCUAUGGGCUCAACCCACAGUCUGCACAGGAAACUGUCGGGCUUGAGAGUGGGAGAGGUGAGUGGAAUUUCCGGUGUAGCGGUGAAAUGCGUAGAUAUCGGAAGGAACACCUGUGGCGAAAGCGGCUCACUGGACCAUUUCUGACGCUGAUGCACGAAAGCUAGGGGAGCAAACAGGAUUAGAUACCCCAGUAGUCCCUGUCUCUUAUAC